Molecule: long non-coding RNA, 7102 nt
Filed under: Cricetulus griseus (Chinese hamster)
Lineage: Eukaryota; Metazoa; Chordata; Mammalia; Rodentia; Cricetidae
Description: lncRNA (ENSCGRG00015039315.1)
Rfam family: Small nucleolar RNA SNORD116 (bases 2435-2526)
Source: RNAcentral
UGCUCCUGCCCUCCUCCUGCAGUAGGCCGACUCCCUCUCUACCGAGGGGGUUGGUGGUUCUUUCCCCCACUCUGCCAGCAAUCACGGCCAUGGUGAAGACAGAGUGUUGACCUAUUGCUGGGAUUCUCCCCUUGCUCUGGCUGACUUGAAAUCCUGAGAGGCAGUGGGUUGAUGUGCUGGCUCCUAGCAGUGGCCCUCAGCCAGAUUGCAGGCUUAGCAGCGGGAGCAGGAAGAACAGAGGCCCCUCUAAAUUGCCCUGCUCAUACUGGAUGGCAGGCCGUGGGUGGAGCCUUCUUCCAAGUCUUCGAGUGGGUUGUAGCCUGGCAGUGUUGCUGCUGACAUAGACUGUCAUGUCCUGGCUGCCGCGCAGUUUGCCCUGGCUCAUGGCUUCUUGUGCUUUGGUGGUUGUGGUCUCUUGAAUUUCAGGGAAUCUGUCAGGUGGAUGAAGGCUGAUGGGGAGGGGUUGUGUGGUUGCAAGCCCAGAAGGUACUCAUGAGUCCUGGUUUUGGAAGGAAAGGAAGAGCCUCCUCAAUGCGAGGGGAUAAAGGAGCCUAAACCAGACUGGCAUUCAGAUUGACAGUCAGCCAUUGGAACCUCAUUUAGCCUCUGCAGAAGGCACCACUGGAAAGCAGACACAUCAGGAUACCUGGAGGUAGCAAAGGUGUUGACCUGUGUAGGAAUCGGUACUCUGGAGUCCUUUGGUUAUGUGGCACUUCUCAUAGACACCGAGGUCAUUCUUGCUGGCCUCCAGGUGGAAGGCAAUGGUGUCAAGAUACUCUUCUGCUAUUCGGGUACUAGUGGCCUGUCUGGACUCUAGGCAAUGUCAAUGUCAGAUAGGACAUGGAUGGUGUUUGGAAGCCUCUGGAGCAAGUUGUGAUUCCUCCCGUGGGGCCUCUCUGGCGGCCAGCUUAGGAAACAAUGGCAGAAAUGCCCUUGAGGUGCAAGGCUGUAUGGAGUUUGGAACUGACUGCCUCAAACCUAUGCUCAUGUGCAGUGGAGUAUGCCCAAGAGACCCUGGAUUGCUGGGAUUCAUUUCUGGUCUUUGGCAGUCUGAGUGUGCACUUUCUCUUGGCAGAACUCAGCCUCCUUGAGUCUCCCCCUCAUAGGAGUUCUUGGGAUGGGAAACACCGAUGCAGUGUCCACAACCUCAGACCUAUUUCAGGGACCCUUGAGGAGUAAGGUGUGUCCCCUAAAGACAGAUGGUCCGAGACGGACAGCAUGCCUUGGAAAAAAGGCACAGAAACAGAAGGAGGUAUGGGAAAGAGAAACACACAGAGACAGAGACAGAGACAGAGACAGAGACAGAGACAGAGACAGAGAUGUGGUGAAAUGGAGACAAACACAUAGAGAAGGAGAUUGUUAAACAAUGUCUGGAAGCCCUGCCAGGUCUUCUGUCACUUGGGAAGAAGGCCUAAGAGGAAACUUUGUCGUGGUCUGACCUGAAGCACCUCAGGUCUUUGGUAGGACAGAGUGUUGUAGAUUUCAGGAGCAUUGCCACAGUAAUAUAGAGGCCUGCCUGGUUUUGAGAUAGAGUUUGAAGGAGGAGGAGGACGAGGCCCAGGGGAAGGCCGACAAUGAGGAGAAAGAGGCAUGGAGAACAAGGCUACUGCUGAUGCUAGCUAGCUUUGAGAUGGAGAGAGCAAGUUGAGUUUGCACUGUCCAGUGACCCCAGGGGACAGGGUUUCAGGGCUGAGGUUUUCCUAGGGGGCCUUUAGGAUGUUUCUUGAAGAGUGUGCUCGCUGCUGUAUCUGAAUGUGUUGUGUUGACAGAAACUGGUUGGUUGACUUCAGGGUGGGGCAAAGAUCCUCUUACAGGCCAAGCAGGAGCUCUUGGGCCCUGGAGCGAACCCGGCCAACCUCUGACAAGCAAUGCUGGAGGUUUUGGGCAGAGCAGGAGUGGUGAGACAGCAGAAGUGAUCUGAUCAUCCCAUGGAGACUAGCAAAGAUAAGCCCUCCCAGCUCCAAUUCGACAGUUCCCACUGGAACGGUGGCAUGUGCUUUUAUGUGUUCACAGUGUCCCACUCUGGGUCCUGCAUGGCCUGAGUGCACAGAGGAUGGCCCAGCAUCCUUCGCACAGGGCUGGUUGCUCCUGACUAAGCCUCCAGUGAAGUUGCCUGGUGUUGCUGACAUGCCUGAGAAGGCCCGAAGAUGGAAGAUGAAGGUACGCCUCCCAAGAAUUGCCCCAUAUGCUCAGGAUUCUCGGGUCUUGGUGGUGUUGCUAGGCAUUGACCAUUCGUGCUUCCGGGCCUGUGUGCACGUGUAACAGACUUAGGUGCUCAAGGUGCUGCCCGGUUGCUUGUAGGGGCCCAUUGCAGUGUGUUCGCCUUCCUGGUCUGGGGCACUUGUUGAUAUUUCUUCUGGCACCCCACCAACACCCGCGCUGUCCAUGAGUGUCUGUGCUGAAUAUCUGGGUGCAAGGGCACUGCAGCGUGCAUGGAUCGAUGAUGAUUCAAGUCAAACAUUCCUUGGAAAAGCUGAACAAAAUGAGUGAAAUCUCAGUUCGCCUCUCUCAUCGGGACUGAGGUCCGGCACCUUGGGUCACCCACGUCCUCCGGGAGUCAGACACAGGCUUGGGAACCACUCCACUGCUCCUGCCCUCCUCCUGCAGUAGGCCGACUCCCUCUCUACCGAGGGGGUUGGUGGUUCUUUCCCCCACUCUGCCAGCAAUCACGGCCAUGGUGAAGACAGAGUGUUGACCUAUUGCUGGGAUUCUCCCCUUGCUCUGGCUGACUUGAAAUCCUGAGAGGCAGUGGGUUGAUGUGCUGGCUCCUAGCAGUGGCCCUCAGCCAGAUUGCAGGCUUAGCAGCGGGAGCAGGAAGAACAGAGGCCCCUCUAAUUUGCCCUGCUCAUACUGGAUGGCAGGCCCUGGGUGGAGCCUUCUUCCAAGUCUUCGAGUGGGUUGUAGCCUGGCAGUGUUGCUGCUGACAUAGACUGUCAUGUCCUGGCUGCCGCGCAGUUUGCCCUGGCUCAUGGCUUCUUGUGCUUUGGUGGUUGUGGUCUCUUGAAUUUCAGGGAAUCUGUCAGGUGGAUGAAGGCUGAUGGGGAGGGGUUGUGUGGUUGCAAGCCCAGAAGGUACUCAUGAGUCCUGGUUUUGGAAGGAAAGGAAGAGCCUCCUCAAUGCGAGGGGAUAAAGGAGCCUAAACCAGACUGGCAUUCAGAUUGACAGUCAGCCAUUGGAACCUCAUUUAGCCUCUGCAGAAGGCACCACUGGAAAGCAGACACAUCAGGAUACCUGGAGGUAGCAAAGGUGUUGACCUGUGUAGGAAUCGGUACUCUGGAGUCCUUUGGUUAUGUGGCACUUCUCAUAGACACCGAGGUCAUUCUUGCUGGCCUCCAGGUGGAAGGCAAUGGUGUCAAGAUACUCUUCUGCUAUUCGGGUACUAGUGGCCUGUCUGGACUCUAGGCAAUGUCAAUGCCAGAUAGGACAUGGAUGGUGUUUGGAAGCCUCUGGAGCAAGUUGUGAUUCCUCCCGAGGGGCCUCUCUGGCGGCCAGCUUAGGAAACAAUGGCAGAAAUGCCCUUGAGGUGCAAGGCUGUAUGGAGUUUGGACCUGACUGCCUCAAACCUAUGCUCAUGUGCAGUGGAGUAUGCCCAAGAGACCCUGGAUUGCUGGGAUGCAUUUCUGGUCUUUGGCAGUCUGAGUGUGCACUUUCUCUUGGCAGAACUCAGCCUCCUUGAGUCUCCCCCUCAUAGGAGUUCUUGGGAUGGGAAACACCGAUGCAGUGUCCACAACCUCAGACCUAUUUCAGGGACCCUUGAGGAGUAAGGUGUGUCCCCUAAAGACAGAUGGUCCGAGACGGACAGCAUGCCUUGGAAAAAAGGCACAGAAACAGAAGGAGGUAUGGGAAAGAGAAACACACAUAGACAGGGACAGAGACAGAGACAGAGACAGAGACAGAGACAGAGAUGUGGUGAAAUGGAGACAAACACAUAGAGAAGGAGAUUGUUAAACAAUGUCUGGCAGCCCUGCCAGGUCUUCUGUCACUUGGGAAGAAGGCCUAAGAGGAAACUUUGUCAUGGUCUGACCUGAAGCACCUCAGGUCUUUGGUAGGACAGAGUGUUGUAGAUUUCAGGAGCAUUGCCACAGUAAUAUAGAGGCCUGCCUGGUUUUGAGAUAGAGUUUGAAGGAGGAGGAGGAUGAGGCCCAGGGGAAGGCCGACAAUGAGGAGAAUGAGGCAUGGAGAACAAGGCUACAGCUGAUGCUAGCUAGCUUUGAGAUGGAGAGAGCAAAUUGAGUUUGCACUGUCCAGUGACCCCAGGGGACAGGGUUUCCGGGCUGAGGUUUUCCUAGGGGGCCUUUAGGAUGUUUCUUGAAGAGUGUGCUCGCUGCUGUCGAGGUAUCUGGAUGUGUUGUGUUGCCAGAAACUUGUUGGUUGACUGCAGGGUGGGGCAAACAUCCUCUUACAGGCCAAGCAGGAGCUCUUGGGCCCUGGAGCGAACCCGGCCUACCUCUGACAAGCCAUGCUGGAGGUUUUGGGCAGAGCAGGAGUGGUGAGACAGCAGAAGUGAUCUGAUCAUCCCAUGGAGACUAGCAAAGAUAAGCCCUCCUAGCUCCAAUUCGACAGUUCCCACUGGAACGGUGGCAUGUGCUUUUAUGUGUUCAGUUUCCAGCUCUUGGUCCUGCAUGGCCUGAAUGCACAGAGGAUGGCCCAGCAUCCUUCGCACAGGGCUGGUUGCUCCUGACUAAGCCUCCAGUGAAGUUGCCUGGUGUUGCUGACAUGCCUGAGAAGGCCCGAAGAUGGAAGAUGAAGGUACGCCUCCCAAGAAUUGCCCCAUAUGCUCAGGAUUCUCGGGUCUUGGUGGUGUUGCUAGGUAUUGACCAUUCGUGCAUCCGGGCCUGUGUGCACGUGUAACAGACUUAGGUGCUCAAGGUGCUGCCCGGUUGCUUGCAGAGGCCCAUUGCAGUGUGUUCGCCUUCCUGGUCUGGGGCACUUGUUGAUAUUUCUUCUGGCACCCCACCAACACCCGUGCUGUCCAUGAGUGUCUGUGCUGAAUAUCUGGAUGCAAGGGCACUGCAGCGUGCAUGGAUCGAUGAUGAUUCAAGUCAAACAUUCCUUGGAAAAGCUGAACAAAAUGAGUGAAAUCUCAGUUCGCCUCUCUCAUCGGGACUGAGGUCCGGCACCUUGGGUCCCCCACGUCCUCCGGGAGUCAGACACAGGCUUGGGAACCACUCCACUGCUCCUGCCCUCCUCCUGCAGUAGGCCGACUCCCUCUCUACCGAGGGGGUUGGUGGUUCUUUCCCCCACUCUGGCAGCAAUCACGGCCAUGGUGAAGACAGAGUGUUGACCUAUUGCUGGGAUUCUCCCCUUGCUCUGACUGACUUGAUAUCCUGAGAGGCAGUGGGUUGAUGUGCUGGCUCCUAGCAGUGGCCCUCAGCCAGAUUGCAGGCUUAGCAGCGGGAGCAGGAAGAACAGAGGCCCCUCUAAUUUGCCCUGCUCAUACUGGAUGGCAGGCCCUGGGUGGAGCCUUCUUCCAAGUCUUAGAGUGGGUUGUAGCCUGGCUGUGUUGCUGCUGACAUAGACUCUCAUGUCCUGGCUGCCGCGCAGUUUGCCCUGGCUCAUGGCUUCUUGUGCUUUGGUGGUUGUGGUCUCUUGAAUUUCGGGGAAUCUGUCAGGUGGAUGAAGGCUGAUGGGGAGGGGUUGUGUGGUUGCAAGCCCAGAAGGUACUCAUGAGUCCUGGUUUUGGAAGGAAAGGAAGAGCCUCCUCAAUGCGAGUGGAUAAAGGAGCCUAAACCAGACUGGCAUUCAGAUUGACAGUCAGCCAUUAGAACAUCAUUUAGCCUCUGCAGAAGGCACGACUGGAAAGCAGACACAUCAGGAUACCUGGAGGUAGCAAAGGUGGUGACCUGUGUAGGAAUCGGGUCUCUGGAGUCCCUUGUUGGUGUAGCACUUCUCUUAGACACCGAGGUCAUUCUUGCUGGCCUCCAGGUGGAAGGCAAUGGUGUCAAGAUGCUCUUCUGCUAUUCGGCUACUAGUGGCCUGUCUGGACUCUAGGCAAUGUCGAAGCCAGGUAGAACAUGGAUGGUGUUUGGAAGCCUCUGGAGCAAGUUGUGAUUCCUCCCGAGGGGCCUCUCUGGCGGCCAGCUUUGGAAACAAUGGCAGAAAUUCCCUUGAGGUGCAAGGCUGUAUGGAGUUUGGAACUGACUGCCUCAAACCUAUGCUCAUGUGCAGUGGAGUAUGCCCAAGAGACCCUGGAUUGCUGGGUUGCAUUUCUGGUCUUUGGCAGUCUGAGUGUGCACUUUCUCUUGGCAGAACUCAGCCUCCUUGAGUCUCCCCCUCAUAGGAGUUCUUGGGAUGGGAAACACCGAUGCAGUGUCCACAACCUCAGACCUAUUUCAGGGACCCUUGAGGAGUAAGGUGUGUCCCCUAAAGACAGAUGGUCCGAGACGGACAGCAUGCCUUGGAAAAAAGGCACAGAAACAGAAGGAGGUAUGGGAAAGAGAAACACACAUAGACAGGGACAGAGACAGAGACAGAGACAGAGACAGAGAUGUGGUGAAAUGGAGACAAACACAUAGAGAAGGAGAUUGUUAAACAAUGUCUGGCAGCCCUGCCAGGUCUUCUGUCACUUGGGAAGAAGGCCUAAGAGGAAACUUUGUCGUGGUCUGACCUGAAGCACCUCAGGUCUUUGGUAGGACAGAGUGUUGUAGAUUUCAGGAGCAUUGCCACAGUAAUAUAGAGGCCUGCCUGGUUUUGAGAUAGAGUUUGAAGGAGGAGGAGGACGAGGCCCAGGGGAAGGCCGACAAUGAGGAGAAUGAGGCAUGGAGAACAAGGCUACAGCUGAUGCUAGCUAGCUUUGAGAUGGAGAGAGCAAAUUGAGUUUGCACUGUCCAGUGACCCCAGGGGACAGGGUUUCCGGGCUGAGGUUUUCCUAGGGGGCCUUUAGGAUGUUUCUUGAAGAGUGUGCUCGCUGCUGUCGAGGUAUCUGGAUGUGUUGUGUUGCCAGAAACUUGUUGGUUGACUGCAGGGUAGGGCAAACAUCCUCUUACAGGCCAAGCAGGAGCUCUUGGGCCCUGGAGCGAACCCGGCCUACCUCUGACAAGCCAUGCUGGAGGUUUUGGGCAGAGCAGGAGUGGUGAGACAGCAGAAGUGAUCUGAUCAUCCC